CCCAUGUCUGUGUCGUGCUGCUCCUGCUCACACGUCUAUGGUCGAAUAAAUAAAGACAAAUCAUAUAGCUUUUGUUUUGUACUUAUGCUGGCUUUGAAGCUUAAGCAUGCUCUUUGGCCUGUCCGUCCUCCAUUACUGUAUAAUCCAGUACUAUCUAAGAGACAGGAAAUGGAUGGGGUCUGUUAUUGUACAGAGUUGACAUGUGUUAUAACAUUGAUCUCUAAGUGCUGUUAGUGAUUCCACUUGAUAGGAUCACUUGCUAGAGCUUUUAAAACAUGUAAUCUGUCACACUCCGAACAUUCAGCGUGAUCGGAAAACAUGCGUUGGGACAGCACACAAACACCGCAUUUUGUUGUAAAAAAACAAAAAUGAUGCCUUGCUCUUUGUGAUGGUGCUGCAUUUAUAUCGUAGUGGUAAAUAAACAUUCUCUGAAUUUAGUUUCCCAAUUGGACAGGUUUGCUUAACUUUUGGAUGUUGGUAGAGGUUUGCCAGUAUCCUGGGGUUGAUGGUUGUUCCCAGGGUUUGAGUAUACCAUGUUUGCACCCGUAAACGUUGUUUGGUUGGUCAGAAUAUUAAAGUAGUUUUCUUGGAUGGACACAUUCGUUGUUGUACUGGUAAUAAUGAUGAUCAAUUUGCUGUUCUAAAGAAUGGGGUAAAAAGCCUAGAGGACAAAAUGGCAUGCAGGAAAUAUUGCCUAUUGCAUUCAAAGCUUGGAGUCUACAAAUCUGGCAGCUGAAUUUAAAUCAGAGCAAUAUUUUCUUCUUUUUGGUCAUUAGCUGAGUUUGCUUUGAUUGCACACCACACAAUAUAUAUAUAGGAACGAAGUUGAUAAAAUAGUUGCUGGAAAAUUCUGCUAAUACCUGGAACAUUUUGUUUUGUUACAUUCAUCUUUUUAUUUAUGCACGAUUUAUAGUUCAGCUCACAUUUUUUGAGACAGCAAAAUAGCAAUGCAGUUUUCGAGCCACAAAAUGCUACUACACACGCCUUCAAGGUCAUUUUUUGAUGAAAUUGUGUGUAUGGGUAUUGUACAUGUGCUGAGACCAGGCAGGAGGCAUAGAUGCAGUGAUGGAUUCCAGUAUGUUCAAAGUUAUUAGAGCAAGAAAGGGAAAAGGAAACAUGGUGGAAAUUAAACUGACUUUACCAGGGAACCUUUUUUAGAUAGUGAGGACUGGACUGUUCUCACCUGUAAUAAACUUAACUAGGGUUUGCAUGGACGAGGAUAGAGAACAGAGUAGUAUUUCAUGCCCCUGGGUACAGGUGGAGUAUUCACUAUAAACUGGCAAAGCUGACAACUAAAGAAAACGAGUAGACGGGAAAGCACAGUUGUGUGGAAAGUCACGGUGACUGCAGCAUUCUGCAUCCAUUUGCUGUGAUGUCUUGAGACUCCAGUCCCUUCCUGUUUUUGUCAACCUCCUCCUGGGUUCUGACCAUCUGUCCAUUCUGUAAUAGUGUUGGUAACCUUAGAGCAGGAAGAUAAAAUAGUGCUGCUUUAAGGUUAUUUUAACAUGACAAGCUUUCCAUGUUUUACUCAGAUCAGAUCUGUCUGUGUUGCUCUUCAUAUUCAUACCCACAAGGCACUUGUCCCUGGAAACACCCUGCAUGUGAUUAUAGACUUUUUUAGGCUAUAGUUUCAAACACUACUUUGUUUUGGUUUCUCCCAGUUUUGCAUGAAUUGAUUCCCAAAUGUCAAGUAACUCGCCAAUUUCUCCAUCCUUCUAGUGAAUAUGGUUCCUGCUGUUGUUGUGCUUCAUGCCACACUGCUGACACUGAAUCAUCAUCGAUAUGAAAUGCUCGCAGUUGUUUCUUUUCCAUAAUUGAUUGUAAAUCAGAAGCCAUGUGGGAUGUAACCCUUUACCCUUAACCGUGUUGCUAUUGAAUCCUGUUGGAGAUUGCAUGCAACAGCACACAUCACUCUGUAUCUUUAAACAUCUGUCUAGCUGACGUAAUAACUCCCAGUGAAAAAUGCUAUUUAUGGAAUGCUGGAUGAUCGUGUCCUGUGAGCAUGAAGAUCUUUCUUGUACAGCCAUUUGCUGCAUCAUGUGGAGAGCGUAGAUUUUUGGGUUUGGUUUGUAGCACUGUUAAAUACUGGCCGGGAUUUCGGGUAAAAUAUUCUGCAGGGGUGCCAGAAUCUGCUGUACCAAAUAUUACAAACGCUUGCAUCAGGAUAUGACUUCUUUCCUCGUGUGCUUUCUGUUUUGCUCUCUUGAACUUCCCCUCCCCCUCAUUCUUCUUCCCCGAGUUUCUUGCCAGCUCCUCAUGCCUCUGUUUCUGUAAUGUUGGCUGUCUCCAUUUCUACCACUUGUCUGCCUCUGAUUCAUUGAUUUCUCCUUUGUUCUCUCCAUGCAUGCUGGUUUAUGAUUAUGCCAGAAACAAGAAUGUGAAUUACAGCAGUUAACGUUGGCACACUUCAUCGAUUGUGAUGGUAGUGAUUCAAUCAAUAAUACGUUCAUUAUUAUUUAUUAUAAAUUCAUUAUCGUGACAAAAGGACUGGCAAUUGUUAUUGAACAAUAAAUAGUUUUUAAAAACAGAAA
Long non-coding RNA from Tachysurus fulvidraco (yellow catfish), 2531 nucleotides. RefSeq lists it as uncharacterized. The record is from RefSeq and is a predicted model, not a curated record. The transcript has 2 exons. Lineage: Eukaryota; Metazoa; Chordata; Actinopteri; Siluriformes; Bagridae.